UACGUAGGGUGCGAGCGUUAAUCGGAAUUACUGGGCGUAAAGCGUGCGCAGGCGGUUUUGUAAGCCAGAUGUGAAAUCCCCGGGCUUAACCUGGGAAUGGCAUUUGGGACUGCAAGGCUGGAGUGUGGCAGAGGAGACUGGAAUUCCCGGUGUAGCAGUGAAAUGCGUAGUUAUCGGGAGGAAUACCGAUGGCGAAGGCAGGUCUCUGGGCUGACACUGACGCUCAUGCACGAAAGCGUGGGGAGCAAACAGG
This 253-nucleotide ribosomal RNA is filed under the name uncultured bacterium. RNAcentral describes it as "partial 16S ribosomal RNA". It matches the Rfam family "Bacterial small subunit ribosomal RNA", at positions 524 to 776 of the family's 1533-position model. The record is from RNAcentral.